CACGUAGGGCGCAAGCGUUGUCCGGAAUUAUUGGGCGUAAAGAGCUCGUAGGCGGUCUGUUGCGUCCGCUGUGAAAACCCGGGGCUUAACCCCUGGCUUGCAGUGGAUACGGACAGACUAGAGGUAGGUAGGGGAGAAUGGAAUUCCCGGUGUAGCGGUGAAAUGCGCAGAUAUCGGGAGGAACACCGGUGGCGAAGGCGGUUCUCUGGGCCUUAACUGACGCUGAGGAGCGAAAGCGUGGGGAGCGAACAGG
RNAcentral lists this ribosomal RNA (253 nucleotides) under uncultured bacterium. RNAcentral's name for it is "partial 16S ribosomal RNA". It matches the Rfam family "Bacterial small subunit ribosomal RNA", at positions 524 to 776 of the family's 1533-position model. The record is from RNAcentral.